RNAcentral lists this ribosomal RNA (242 nucleotides) under uncultured bacterium. RNAcentral's name for it is "partial 16S ribosomal RNA". It matches the Rfam family "Bacterial small subunit ribosomal RNA", at positions 89 to 334 of the family's 1533-position model. The record is from RNAcentral.
CGUCGAGCGGCGAACGGGUGAGUAACGCGUAGGAAUCUGCCUGGUAGAGGGGGAUAGCUCGGGGAAACUCGAAUUAAUACCGCAUACGCCCUACGGGGGAAAGCAGGGGAUCUUCGGACCUUGCACUAUCAGAUGAGCCCGCGUCGGAUUAGCUAGUUGGUGGGGUAAAGGCCCACCAAGGCGACGAUCCGUAACUGGUCUGAGAGGAUGAUCAGUCACACCGGAACUGAGGCACGGUCCGG